RNAcentral lists this long non-coding RNA (374 nucleotides) under Equus asinus (donkey). Its description in RNAcentral is "lncRNA (ENSEASG00005030780.1)". Lineage: Eukaryota; Metazoa; Chordata; Mammalia; Perissodactyla; Equidae. The record is from RNAcentral.
CGGCAGGCCAGGUUCCGAGUGUGCGUCUUCGGGAAACUUAUGUGCGCUAGUCGGUUCGCUCGAUGCCUGGGCUUGUGGGUCGAAUUGAGGUGCCGGAGUCCGCUACUGCCUAGCGCGCCUGGCGGGAGCCGCCGGCGUUGGCCACCCGCCGCCUGGGUGUGUGCCCCAGUGACCACAGGUGCCCCGGCGUCAGUUCUGGAAGAAACCUGAGAGCAGGGUGGCUUGGGUCGUGGGAGCCAUGGUGAAGACGAACAGUGUCCCUGACGGCGGCUGGCUUUGCUUUUUCAGAGGAAAUAGACUCUCACACAGGAACUGCAACACUGACUGCCAGCUUCAUCAGCAGAUAUCCUUCUCUCCUGUCUCAGAUGCAGAGG